UAGCUCAGUUGGUAAGGAAUCUGCCUGUGAUGCAGGAGACCCAGGUUCGAUUCCUGG
This 57-nucleotide transfer RNA is filed under the name Bos taurus (domestic cattle). It matches the Rfam family "tRNA", at positions 8 to 63 of the family's 71-position model. From Rfam's summary of the family: Transfer RNA (tRNA) molecules are approximately 80 nucleotides in length. Their secondary structure includes four short double-helical elements and three loops (D, anti-codon, and T loops). The record is from Rfam by way of RNAcentral. Lineage: Eukaryota; Metazoa; Chordata; Mammalia; Artiodactyla; Bovidae. RNAcentral also lists the same sequence under 5 other names.